UUCUUCAAGUGGAGAAAGUUCCAGCUCAAGCGACAAAUUGGCAAAGAUGUGUUACAUAUCCAACAAAGGAAAGAAAAGGAAUGUGAAUCACUUUAAGCCUAAAUCUACUCAUGACUUAUCUUAUCCUAAAUUGCAAGAAUCUUUUAAAAAUAUACAAAGACAAGCCAUAUAAACUUUUAAAAAGGUUGUUUCAAACAAAAAAAAUUCUCUUAUUUGCAAGCUAAAAU
RNAcentral lists this long non-coding RNA (227 nucleotides) under Lathyrus oleraceus (garden pea). RNAcentral's name for it is "Pisum sativum (pea) long non-coding RNA (PSAT_LNC003541)". Lineage: Eukaryota; Viridiplantae; Streptophyta; Magnoliopsida; Fabales; Fabaceae. The record is from RNAcentral.